AGAUAAUCUACCCUUUAGGACCGGGAUAACCCUGGGAAACUGGGGAUAAUACUGGAUAGGCAAUUAUUCCUGUAAUGGUUUUUUGUUUAAAUGUUUUUUCGCCUAAGGAUGAGUCUGCGGCCGAUUAGGUAGUUGGUUAGGUAAUGGCUUACCAAGCCGUUGAUCGGUACGGGUUGUGAGAGCAAGAGCCCGGAGAUGGAACCUGAGACAAGGUUCCAGGCCCUACGGGGUGCAGCAGGCGCGAAACCUCCGCAAUGUGAGAAAUCGCGACGGGGGGAUCCCAAGUGCCAUUCUUAACGGGAUGGCUUUUCAUUAGUGUAAAGAGCUUUUGGAAUAAGAGCUGGGCAAGACCGGUGCCAGCCGCCGCGGUAACACCGGCAGCUCUAGUGGUAACAAUUUUUAUUGGGCCUAAAGCGUCCGUAGCCGGUUUAAUAAGUCUCUGGUGAAAUCCUGCAGCUUAACUGUGGGAAUUGCUGGAGAUACUAUUAGACUUGAGACCGGGAGAGGUUAGAGGUACUCCCAGGGUAGAGGUGAAAUUCUGUAAUCCUGGGAGGACCGCCUGUUGCGAAGGCGUCUAACUGGAACGGUUCUGACGGUGAGGGACGAAAGUUAGGGGCGCGAACCGGAUUAGAUACCCGGGUAGUCCUAACUGUAAACGAUGCGGACUUGGUGUUGGGGUGGCUUUGAGCUGUCCCAGUGCCGAAGGGAAGCUGUUAAGUCCGCCGCCUGGGAAGUACGGUCGCAAGACUGAAACUUAA
RNAcentral lists this ribosomal RNA (758 nucleotides) under uncultured archaeon. RNAcentral describes it as "bacterial SSU rRNA". It matches the Rfam family "Archaeal small subunit ribosomal RNA", at positions 102 to 859 of the family's 1478-position model. The record is from RNAcentral.